AAACAUUUAUAGUAAGCAAUUGUGAAGUCCAGUAAAUAAUUGAUAGUCCAUGCCAGUUUAAAUAAUGGAAGUUCUUCAAAGUCUCUUAAAACUUUUUCUUUUGCUAGCUUUAGCAAUUUCUAGUGCCGAUCUGGGCCCUCUUAUACCACCCAUUAGGCUUAGCGAUAGAUAUUAUAUAUGGAAUAAAACAGCAACUUUUACUCAGGCCUUAGGAAUAUGCCAAUCUUACGGAAUGAGAAUGGCAGUGGUAAAUUCCGAAAAUGUUACUCGAGAAUUGCAGAAUGCUUUUUUAAGAUCCACACAACCUUAUACCUAUUACUGGAUAGCAGGCGUUUACCAGAACAAUGACGUAUACGAAGGAUGGACUUGGGCCACCACAUCUGAACCUUUUAAUUUCACUAGUUGGGCACCAUUUCAGCCAGAAAUCACAAGCUCAGAUAAUUGUAUCAGGUGGCCUUAUACUUGGCAGACAGAAAAUGGAAUAUGGGAAAGCGUGAAGUGUACAAAUUCUGGCGCAGCUCGAAUAUUAUGUGAAGAUCCUGAUGUCUGAUGAAAUUUUAUAUUUGUAUGGCACCACAGAGGAAUUGAGAAUCUUGCAGCAAAAGGGGGGCAGCUCUAUUCUUGGCAAAUUUUUAUCUUAUACAUGCUUAAAUAUAAGAAAAAAAGACCGCACCGAUUGGUGCAAAAAGCAGGCAAAUCCAACUAUUAUUAGAAGAGGUAUACGAAUUUUGGGAGCUGCCCCCAUUUUCGCUUGGUGCAGCUCCGGAGUUGCCUCCUUUUUGCACCAAUCAUUAGGAAAAUUCCAUUGUAAACAAAGACGAUAUUUUUGUUGUGUUUUUUUUGCGUCAGUAUUAGUAUCACGCGCGGCAGAAUAGCAGUGUUUUGCUAUUCCGGUUAAUUUCGAUGUUUUUUUAGUAGUAUAUCACAGUAUCGUAGGUUAGUUUUUAGGGAAAAAAUGAGAAAUUAAUAGUCCUGUAGUGAUGAUAAUGUUAGCCUUUUUGGCGAGAGUUCAGACUUGUAUGAACCAACCGAUUCAGAAAGUUCAAGUGAGUCAGAUCACAACGCUCCAGGUCCAUCCACUAAAACCAGAUAUCCAAAAAAAUAAUUCUAAGCCAAAAAAUCCUUUGUCAAUGAGGAGUAGUGAUGCUGAAGAAGAAGUAACACAACCUUUAAAAAAGACAAGAAAAAGCGUUAAUAUAGCCUAUUGGAAGCGUAAAGUCAUAAAGAGUUCCAUUGCACAAUGAAGAUGAAGAGUUAUGUCAAUUGGAAAGGAAAAGAAAUAGAAGCAAGAAAAACAGGACCAGAUUGUAAAUGUAAGUCUAAAUGCUUUAAAAAAGUAACUCAAGAAAGUAGAGCCGUAAUUUUGUCAAAAUUUAACAACCUAGGAGAAAGAUAUAUUCAGAAUACCUAUUUAGGAGGGCUAAUUACAACCAAGAAUGUUUAAUGGCCUCGUGCCAAAACUGGCCAAGGCAAAAAUCGAAGCUGCGCGCACGCAUAUAGCAUUAAACUAGGCAAGCAAACUGUUAGGGUUUGCAGACGCGCUUUUGCAUCAAUAUAUGGAAUAUGGAAAAAACGUAUGAACAAUGUCUCAAAAUCCUUUGGUGUUGGGGAUAACGUAUCAGCUUCCAUUAGCCAACGUGGUAAACAUCAAAGCAGGGUAAAAAGGCUUUCAGAAAGUUAUGUUCAAAAAAUAGAUGUCCCUAUUAAAAGCUUUCCAUGACGCGA
This is a long non-coding RNA of Anthonomus grandis grandis, 1725 nucleotides long. RefSeq lists it as uncharacterized. Lineage: Eukaryota; Metazoa; Arthropoda; Insecta; Coleoptera; Curculionidae. The transcript has 4 exons. The record is from RefSeq and is a predicted model, not a curated record.